RNAcentral lists this ribosomal RNA (433 nucleotides) under uncultured bacterium. Its description in RNAcentral is "partial 16S ribosomal RNA". It matches the Rfam family "Bacterial small subunit ribosomal RNA", at positions 29 to 507 of the family's 1533-position model. The record is from RNAcentral.
AACGAACGCUGGCGGCAUGCCUAACACAUGCAAGUCGAACGAGACGUUCGGGUCUAGUGGCGCACGGGUGCGUAACGCGUGGGAACUUGCCCUUAGGUUCGGAAUAACUCCCCGAAGGGGAUGCUAAUACCGGAGAAUGUCUUCGGACCAAAGAUUUAUCGCCUUUGGAUGGGCGCGCGUUGGAUUAGCUAGUUGGUAGGGUAAAAGCCUACCAAGGCGACGAUCCAUAGCUGGUCUGAGAGGAUGAUCAGCCACACUGGGACUGAGACACGGCCCAGACUCCGACGGGAAGCAGGAGUAGGGAAUAUUAGACGAUGGACGAAAGCCUGAUCCAGCAACGCCGCGUGAGUGAUGAAGGGCUUAGGGUUGUGAAGCUGUUUUACCCGGGGUGAUAAUGACGGUACCGGGAGAAGAAGCUCCGGCUAACUCCGUG